UAAGUCCUGUGCCAAGCGGCGAUGAAUUCGUCAAGCUUGCUUGUAAGGAUUCAUCGCCAUUUGGCACGACAACAGAAAUCGAGAAGUAGCGCGAUAGCGCGAAUUCGAGAUUUCUGUAGCAUUGCGAAAGCGUAUGCGAAGCAAUGCGUAGGACUUA
This 157-nucleotide small RNA is filed under the name Oribacterium sp. C9. Its description in RNAcentral is "Clostridiales-1 RNA". It matches the Rfam family "Clostridiales-1 RNA". Lineage: Bacteria; Bacillati; Bacillota; Clostridia; Lachnospirales; Lachnospiraceae. The record is from Rfam by way of RNAcentral.